Molecule: ribosomal RNA, 279 nt
Filed under: uncultured bacterium
Lineage: Bacteria
Description: partial 16S ribosomal RNA
Rfam family: Bacterial small subunit ribosomal RNA
Source: RNAcentral
UGCCAGCAGCCGCGGUAAUACAGAGAGUGCAAACGUUGUUCGGAAUCACUGGGCUUAAAGCGCACGUAGGCGGCAUUGUAAGUGUCGGGUGAAAUCCCACGGCUCACCCGUGGAACUGCCCGGCAGACUGCAGUGCUAGAGUAUGGUAGGGGAGAGCGGAACUCAUGGUGGAGCGGUGAAAUGCGUAGAUAUCAUGAGGAACACCGGUGGCGAAGGCGGCUCUCUGGUCCAUAACUGACGCUGAGGUGCGAAAGCUAGGGUAGCGAACGGGAUUAGAUA